Molecule: non-coding RNA, 190 nt
Organism: Xyrichtys novacula (pearly razorfish)
Lineage: Eukaryota; Metazoa; Chordata; Actinopteri; Labriformes; Labridae
Source: the annotation of a GenBank genome assembly
AAGAUGAGCAAAGAAGUAACUGGAAAGGUCAUUGUUUAAUUUAACUUUGUAAACUUUUCAAUGUGUCAUUUGUUUCAGUUCAACUUCAUAUCGACUCAGGUGCUACAUGGCCUAACCAAAUGACACAUUAAAAAGUUUACGAAGCGAAAUUAAACAAUAACCUUUCCACAAAAUUCUUUGCUCGUCUUCU